UAAGUAAAUGUUUUCCUUUAUAAGAGUUGCCAUGGUCAUGGUGUCUCUUCACAGCAAUGGAAACCAUAACUAAGACACUGCCCCGAGUGAUCUCCAACAUCAGAAAGCUCUAGAGCUAACCUGGAAGCAGCCUCUCUCACUAGCUUUAAAACGAUGUCUGUGAUUAUGUCUAUUACGUUGUUUAUUUCUGGCGUGCUCAUGUACAUGUGUGGAGACCAGAGGACAGUUUGCCGGAACGAGUUCUCCUGUUCCACCAUGUGAGCUCUGGGGACUGGAUGCAGGUCAUUAGACUUGGUGACAAGCACCCUGCCCUGCUGAACCAGGAGCCCUAGACUCAGGAUCCUGAGUGGUGCUGGACCAGAGGGAUCUGGAUGAAAGGGCAACUGUCUGCCCCCAGAACUUGGUCUCGAUGACCCAGCCUGAUUGCUUCCGGAAAUUCCGUCUCUAAAUUGCUGAAUCUUGCUGCCUUUCAUUGAGAAAGAGAUUCUCACGAAGGGAAGGGGCAGCCUGCAGAGGCGACAUUGGCACCCAAGUCCCACCCCUUCCCUGGAUGUCUCAAGUGGCUCUAGCAUAAGAGAGGCAGAUGAGGCCCCUCGGAGGAGAGCUUCUUGGGCAAGACGGGACUCCGGCACCCCUUGGGGGCAAGUACCACGUGUGGCUUACAGAAAACAUCCACGGAACCACUCGCUUCUGCACGACAAUGAGGCCUUCCUAGACCAGCUUCGUGACAGAAGCUCUGUAGAACCACCACGCCGAGGCUGAGCCAGCUCUGGUUACAGGGGCUGUCUUAAGCUACUGUGUUUCACAGAGCAAAGUCAUCACCGCACACUAAGAGGGGCGUGCACGUGGGUAGGUGAUUCCAGGAGAGCUGAGCCAGUGGCCUUCCAUGCCUGGCACCUCCCUCCUCAGUGUCACAUGCUCUAGAAAUAACCCACAACACUUGCCCAUGCUCUCCCGCCCCCUCAGGUAGAGCGCUGGCCAGUCCAGGGGAGGGGCGGGCCAUGGCCAACAGCCAUCCUAUGGACAUUCCUCUUCAGAUACCAAGAAACAAGUCAAAGUAUAAAAAAGUUAUUUUCCAAACUGUUUAGUCAUUUUUCAAAAUGUUUUCUAGAAGUGUUUAAGGAAGUUCACUGGGUAAUUAGAUCAAAUACCACAGGCAAAACAGAGUUUAUGGACUAUGGGAACGGCGAGGCCCCUUGGCAGAUCCAGCAAGUUACGUGAUUAGCUGGCAGGGACAAAGAGGUCAGUGUGGGUAUUCUAACUCUGAGUGGCCACUGGUGGUACCGAAGAAAAUGACCUUAGAGAUCUCAGGAUGUAACUGAGACCCUUGAGUUCUGGCCACGGUACCUGGCCUUCAAGGCCUGAGCCCAGAGGCGUCGGCUGGAGUGGUCCCUCCAGCACACUGAGGUGGGGUUUCCUUCCUCCUCAGACUGUCUCACAGAGAAGCUGUGUCAUCACUAGCUCAUGACAGCCAGCUCUGAAGGGCCAUCUGGUCACCUCAGAACAGAUCAUUUCAACCAGACACUUCGGAGCCUCCCAUGGGACAGCUGCAGGGUGCAGAGUGGCCUCCCUGGCAGGGAGGCAAGGGAAGCUUUAACUGUCCUGUUUGUUUCACAGUGGGUUUGAGCUGUCUCAGAGGUCACUGGUCCCCUCCGUUCCAGUUUGAAAGACUUGAGGUCCUUCUGUUCUUUAUUUGAGCAAAAUCAUCUCAUAAAACGUCCUCAGCCGUCACAGGGGAGACCCUGUGUAGACAGAUCGCAGCCAACGUGAAGUGUUUAUUCUCAUUCAACUCCAAAGUUUUCUAAAUUACAGUGAGAAAAUGAGGUGUGGAGAAAGCUUUUGUGUCCUCUGCUGUUCCCUCUGUGGGAGGAAAAACUUCAAAGAAAUUUCCCACCAUUAAAAAAAAUGCAGAAGAAAGGGCUGCAGGGAUGGCUCAGUGGUUAGAGCACUGCUGCUCUUCCAGAGGACCUGGGUCCAAUUCCCAGCACCCACAUGGCAGCUCACAGCUGUCUGUAACUGCAAUGUCAGGGAAUCCAACACCUUCACACAAACAUGCAUGCAGGUAAAACACCAGUGCACAUAAAAUUAAAUCUAAAUAAAUAUUUUUCUAAAUGCAGAAGAAAACAUUUCAGAUUUUUUAAAAAUCCAAAUUUCCUUAAAAUGUGUUAUUGAUAUAUAUCUUACGGAUAAAUAAACUCCUUAGAGCAUA
Mesocricetus auratus (golden hamster) is the source of this 2209-nucleotide long non-coding RNA. RefSeq lists it as uncharacterized. Lineage: Eukaryota; Metazoa; Chordata; Mammalia; Rodentia; Cricetidae. The transcript has 4 exons. The record is from RefSeq and is a predicted model, not a curated record.